GGCAGUGUAGUGCAGUGGUUUAGCAUCUCCCUUUCCCAAAGGGAAGACCUGGGCUCGAAUCCCAGCUCUGCCA
This 73-nucleotide transfer RNA is filed under the name Exophiala xenobiotica. Its description in RNAcentral is "tRNA-Gly (CCC) (tRNA-Gly-CCC-2-1)". It matches the Rfam family "tRNA". Rfam says of the family: Transfer RNA (tRNA) molecules are approximately 80 nucleotides in length. Their secondary structure includes four short double-helical elements and three loops (D, anti-codon, and T loops). The record is from RNAcentral. Lineage: Eukaryota; Fungi; Ascomycota; Eurotiomycetes; Chaetothyriales; Herpotrichiellaceae.